AAAUUUCAUCCAUCAUUUGUGUUUCAUAAUCAAUAGCUUUUCCAAAUUAAAGUAUGAAUAUAAUUAAGUGGGUUUGCCUAGUUCUGGAUAUCUGUGCUUUUGAUCUUUCCAUUAUGCCAAUAACUCUGAAAAUCUGUGGGACAGUUUUGUUUCACAUUUUAGGGUUUUGAGGGAACGAGAGCCAGCUUCUGUGCAGCAGCUUAUAUAAUUUAUGGCUUCAGCCCAGUGUCCA
Molecule: unclassified non-coding RNA, 232 nt
Filed under: Hevea brasiliensis (rubber tree)
Lineage: Eukaryota; Viridiplantae; Streptophyta; Magnoliopsida; Malpighiales; Euphorbiaceae
Source: RNAcentral